AUAAAACUGCACCCUACUCAAACUCGAGAGAGUUUCUCUGGAUUUCACGUAGAAAAUGGGAAUAAUGCUUAUUGUGACAUAUCUAUACAUAUUUCUCAAUUGCUAAUCAUGAAGCAGGAGCCAGCAGCUGGUUGGAGCGCUGAUGAUUUACAUCAGAUCUACAUCUACAAGGCAGGCUAAAAGGACCAGUAUCAACACCGGACAAAAACUACUGACGUAGCGAGGAGAGAGGGGGCACACAGGAAAAACUCCCCCAGUGGAAUGAGAAAUGACAGUGAGGGUCAGGCUGAGUUCAUGUGCGUACCUCAAAGGAGCCGGGCAGGGUGCAGCAGCAGGGCAGCGGUCCUCACACUGGGAAGCAGGGUUUAAAGGAGGGGAGGCGGGGGCUGGGAGAGGAGCAGGAGGGAUGCAGGGAGAUGCAGGUGGGGUUGGCGGAGCUUCAGGAGUGUGCCUCUCCGGGGGAGUCGGAGGAGGCGUGGGAAAUUCUGUG
This is a long non-coding RNA of Gasterosteus aculeatus aculeatus (three-spined stickleback), 490 nucleotides long. The record is from Ensembl. Lineage: Eukaryota; Metazoa; Chordata; Actinopteri; Perciformes; Gasterosteidae.